This 253-nucleotide ribosomal RNA is filed under the name uncultured bacterium. RNAcentral describes it as "partial 16S ribosomal RNA". It matches the Rfam family "Bacterial small subunit ribosomal RNA", at positions 524 to 776 of the family's 1533-position model. The record is from RNAcentral.
UACGUAGGGUGCGAGCGUUGUCCGGAAUUAUUGGGCGUAAAGAGCUCGUAGGCGGUCUGUCGCGUCUGCUGUGAAAACCCGAGGCUCAACCUCGGGCCUGCAGUGGGUACGGGCAGACUAGAGUGCGGUAGGGGAGAAUGGAAUUCCUGGUGUAGCGGUGGAAUGCGCAGAUAUCAGGAGGAACACCGAUGGCGAAGGCAGGUCUCUGGGCCGAUACUGACGCUGAGGAGCGAAAGCGUGGGGAGCGAACAGG